This 582-nucleotide ribosomal RNA is filed under the name Triticum aestivum (bread wheat). RNAcentral describes it as "partial small subunit ribosomal RNA". The record is from RNAcentral. Lineage: Eukaryota; Viridiplantae; Streptophyta; Magnoliopsida; Poales; Poaceae.
AUGAGUGUCUUCUGCUGGAACUGUCGUGGCGCGGGCAAACAUGCGGCAGUUCGCGAACUGCGUGAUUUCGCGUUGAAGUUUGCCCCUACCGUACUAUGUAUUGUUGAGACACAAAUUAGUGGAGUACGUGUAGAAGCUUUUGCUAGCACUCUAGGGUAUGAUAACUCAUAUGCAAUAAACAGUCAGGGUAGAAGCGGUGGAAUUGGCAUGUUUUGGAAUAAUACAAUCGAUGUUGAGAUUUUGGGCGACUCUGUUUACCACAUUGAUGCGAAAAUACAGGAGGUGGGACAGGACCCAUGGCGAUUGACAUGCUUUUAUGGGGAGGCCCAAACUAGUCUGAGGCACCAAACUUGGGAUCUAAUGAAAAACUUGGCAGCUUUAAAUGACUUGCCUUGGGUCUGUGUGGGGGAUUUCAACGAGGUGCUACGUCAGGAAGAACACCAGGGCGUAGCUAAAAGAAGUAAUGCACAAAUCCAUGUUGGAAAUGUUGCAGAAAAUAAAAAAAUUCUACGCUUCACCAAGAUCAAUCUAUGGAGUUCAUCUAGCAACGAGAGAGAGGAGUGCAUCUACAUACCCUUGUAG